Molecule: ribosomal RNA, 253 nt
Filed under: uncultured bacterium
Lineage: Bacteria
Description: partial 16S ribosomal RNA
Rfam family: Bacterial small subunit ribosomal RNA
Source: RNAcentral
UACAGAGGGUGCUAGCGUUGUUCGGAAUCAUUGGGCGUAAAGGGCGUGUAGGCGGUUUGUUAAGUCAUGUGUGAAAUCCCUCGGCUCAACCGGGGAAGGACGCAUGAAACUGGCAAGCUAGAGUACCAAAGAGGGGGGUGGAAUUCCCGGUGUAGCGGUGAAAUGCGUAGAUAUCUGGAGGAACACCCGUGGUGCAGACGGCUUGCUGGACCGUGACUGACGCUGAGGCACGAAAGCGUGGGUAGCAAACAGG